AGCUCCGAGGUGUCAGCACGUUAGAUUGCAAAUCUAAAGAAGCAGAGUAAUACUUUGCCGGGGCUU
Molecule: transfer RNA, 66 nt
Filed under: Cynoglossus itinus
Lineage: Eukaryota; Metazoa; Chordata; Actinopteri; Pleuronectiformes; Cynoglossidae
Description: tRNA-Cys
Source: RNAcentral